AAAUACAGGCAUUAAAUUACAAUAUUGAAAACCAUACUUAUAAUCUGUAGAUUCAUAAAAUUCAUAAUUCUCAUAGCAAAUAUCCAUCAAAUGAAACUCAAAUGUAAUUUAGCCAUCCUAAUUAAGUGCCAAGACUAAAUUGUCCGUGAUCUAGAGUCCAGUCAAGCUAAUUCUUUGGAUCCUGCAAUCAAGAAAUCAAAAAAAUAGUUCUAGUUAAAGAGUUCAACAUAACAUACGACAUACAAUUAUUCUAGCCCCAUUGUUAAAAAAACUGUCGCCAAACUAAAUGGAGUAAUAUUAUGUCAGCAAGCAUGUAAAAGGGAUCAAAACAAUUUUACAACUGUAAAUGUCAAAAGCGUAAGCACAAGUAGAUGUACUAAAAGCUUCCGCUAUUGAUUUAAGUUGUGACACGAUCUAUAGUUUCAGUUAAGUUCAUGUCCCUAGCUAGCACAUAUUCAUUUUUUUAAGCUGUGACUCGAUGCAGCAACAACACAUGGUGAAAGAGAAGAAGCAGCUAGCUAAUUAUGAAGGCCAAUGGUGUAUAAAAUGGUAGGGUCAAUGUCUGACCACGUCCUCACUUCAAUGAGCAGUGUUGAAGGUUUAGCAAUUUAACCCAUACCAGGAUUUUAUGCAUUAUAGCAAAUGCUAGAGAUAGCUUAAGUGACAUAAACAAUUUACCAGAUAUGGGUUGGGUUAUCCAUAUUGGUUUGUGUAUGUUGUUAUACUUUCCAUCCUAGUUAAGAUAACAGAGCCUUUUCUUCCUGCACACAAAAUCAAUUAAGGGACUUAGCAUUAACAAAGCAUUGAUGUUGUGCACCAUUCAGAUAGGUGAUUAUGAAGUAAGGAUGUUGUGUACUAGGAGCAUCCUCCGUAGAAUUCAUAAUGUGCCCUUGUGUAGAUAAUAUCAGAAUUUGAGUCAAUUUAAGAAGAAACGCAAUACGUAAAGCAGGCAUAAAAUCAAAUCAGUUUUAUAAAAAAAUGAUAAAAACUAUGUUGGGAAUGUGGACCGAAAUAACUACAAGGCCCCAUCUCACACACGUCUCCUCCUCUCUUCUCUCUGUUUUCUUUCUCUUCUCGAGCAGAUCCAUUUAUCUACCCAUGAUCCGAUCACACUACCAAAGGUACUGAUUGUACCACACUGGGUCAAAUCCUUCUCACUUUUCUCUCAAGUUUCUCACAUCUCUCCUCUGCUUCAUUGAGUCCAAUUGUUUUGGAUGAACCGUUCUUCAGUUAACCUCCAUAGUACACAGUUUGUUUCUAUGGAAGCCGGGCCAAUAAUUAAUACCUUUUGUUUUGAUUUAAAAUUAUCCAGACGAAUAUGCAGAACAGAAUCAUACAUGCACAUAUUAACAGAAAAUACAUCUAGAUGGAACUUUAUCUGAAUCCUCACGACACGGACUUCAAUUCAGCCUAGGCAAUGUAACGAAAACUAGAGAGAGUUGCCGGUCCAGGUGCCAGGAACUUGGAGGUUAAUACAAGUUGCAGCCUAAUUGGCUACUAAUUGAAGCAGGAGUAGGGAAUACAAAAAAAAACGACUGAUCUACAGCGCUUGCUAUGGAGGAUCAGGGAUGUGGCUUGGUGAUGAACCUGGUCGCAGCGCUCCACCUCCGGGCCGGCCAUGUGGCGAGCAACCCCGACGUAGGCAGGCCGGCACUGCGCUUGCGAUGUAGGGGAGAAGACGGG
This 1683-nucleotide long non-coding RNA is filed under the name Triticum aestivum (bread wheat). RNAcentral describes it as "long non-coding RNA (TAES_LNC005906)". The record is from RNAcentral. Lineage: Eukaryota; Viridiplantae; Streptophyta; Magnoliopsida; Poales; Poaceae.